AGGACGAACGCUGGCGGCGUGCUUAACACAUGCAAGUCGAGCGGUAAGGCCCUUUCGGGGGUACACGAGCGGCGAACGGGUGAGUAACACGUGGGUGACCUGCCCUUAGCUCUGGGAUAAGCCUGGGAAACUGGGUCUAAUACCGGAUAUGACGCACGGCCGCAUGGUCUGUGUGUGGAAAGAUUUAUCGGUCAAGGAUGAGCUCGCGGCCUAUCAGCUUGUUGGUGGGGUAAUGGCCUACCAAGGCGACGACGGGUA
Molecule: ribosomal RNA, 258 nt
Filed under: uncultured bacterium
Lineage: Bacteria
Description: partial small subunit ribosomal RNA
Rfam family: Bacterial small subunit ribosomal RNA
Source: RNAcentral